AGGUGGUUUGGAAGAGUUGGUGUUGGGAGUGAGGUUGGGAAUCUAUUGGCAAGGAAGACAAUGAGUGCCUUGCCACUGUCAUGUGAAAAUGAAGAAAAAGGAUUACAGAACAAACUUUUGGCUUGCCUGCAAUCUUUCAGUUCAGGAAACUACUCUCUGUAAGGUAUCAGCAUCAUAUUUGUAUCAUGAAAAGAAUUUGAACAUUUCAUCAGUUUGAACAAUCUGAUUGCAAACUGUUCCAAAGACGCUAAGAUAUUGGUCUGACUGGAGUGAAAAUACCCGUUUCAUGCAGACCUAAUGUCUGGAUUCAUCCUCUGAAGAUCUUACAGGGAUAAAGAUGAUAUCUUAUUUUCCCGGGAAAUUUGGAAAAGAAAAUAGAAAAAAUCAAGAGAACCAUAACCUGCCAAGAAUUGAUUUCAAAAACUUGGAAAGACUUGUAUGGUCUGAUGCUGAGUGAAGUGAGCAGAACCAGGAGAAUGUU
This is a long non-coding RNA of Vombatus ursinus (common wombat), 481 nucleotides long. RefSeq lists it as uncharacterized. NCBI's taxonomy places the organism in Eukaryota, Metazoa, Chordata, Mammalia, Diprotodontia, Vombatidae. The transcript has 3 exons. The record is from RefSeq and is a predicted model, not a curated record.